UUCGCAAUGCCCGAAAGGGUGACGAAGCGACGCCGCGUGCGGGAAGAAGGCCUUCGGGUUGUAAACCGCUGUCGGGAGUUAAGAAAUGUAAGGAUGUUAAUAGCGUCUUUACUUGACUAAGGCUCCGGAGGAAGCCACGGCUAACUCUGUGCCAGCAGCCGCGGUAAUACAGAGGCGGCAAGCGUUGUUCGGAAUUAUUGGGCGUAAAGAGCACGUAGGCGGCUAUGUAAGUCGGUUGUGAAAGCCUUCCGCUCAACGGGAGAACAGCAUCCGAUACUGCAUGGCUUGAGUGUGAGAGGGGAGAGUGGAACUUCUGGUGGAGCGGUGAAAUGCGUAGAUAUCAGAAGGAACGCCGGCGGCGAAAGCGGCUCUCUGGCCCAUAACUGACGCUGAGUGUGCGAAAGCUAGGGGAGCAAACGGGAUUAGAUACCCCGGUAGUCCUAGCCGUAAACGAUGGGCACUAAGUAGAGGGGUUUU
This 477-nucleotide ribosomal RNA is filed under the name uncultured anaerobic ammonium-oxidizing bacterium. RNAcentral's name for it is "bacterial SSU rRNA". It matches the Rfam family "Bacterial small subunit ribosomal RNA", at positions 365 to 832 of the family's 1533-position model. The record is from RNAcentral.